Molecule: ribosomal RNA, 253 nt
Filed under: uncultured bacterium
Lineage: Bacteria
Description: partial 16S ribosomal RNA
Rfam family: Bacterial small subunit ribosomal RNA
Source: RNAcentral
UACGUAGGGGGCGAGCGUUGUCCGGAUUUAUUGGGCGUAAAGAGCGUGUAGGCGGCUCGAUAAGUCCGCUGUGAAAGUCCAGGGCUCAACCCUGGAAGGCCGGUGGAAACUGUCGGGCUAGAGCCCGGAAGAGGCGAGUGGAAUUCCCGGUGUAGCGGUGAAAUGCGCAGAUAUCGGGAGGAACACCAAUGGCGAAGGCGGGUCUCUGGACAGUUCCUGACGCUGAGGCACGAAGGUCAGGGGAGCAAACGGG